AACGAACGCUGGCGGCGCGCCUAACACAUGCAAGUCGAACGAGAAGCUGUAGCAAUACAGUUGUACAGUGGCGAACGGGUGAGGAAUACAUGGGUGACCUACCCUCGAGUGGGGAAUAACCAGCCGAAAGGUUGGCUAAUACCGCGUACGUUUCCCAGUUUACGGAUUGGGAAGGAAAGCGAUGCCGUGGGUAUCGCGCUCAAGGUUGGGCUCAUGUCCUAUCAGCUUGUUGGGAGGUAACGGCUCACCAAGGCAACGACGGGUAGCUGGUCUGAGAGGACGAUCAGCCACACUGGCACUGCGACACGGGCCAGGCUCCUACGGGAGGCAGCAGUGAGGAAUAUUGCGCAAUGGGCGAAAGCCUGACGCAGCGACGCCGCGUGGGGGAU
RNAcentral lists this ribosomal RNA (389 nucleotides) under uncultured bacterium. RNAcentral's name for it is "bacterial SSU rRNA". It matches the Rfam family "Bacterial small subunit ribosomal RNA", at positions 29 to 409 of the family's 1533-position model. The record is from RNAcentral.